This 497-nucleotide ribosomal RNA is filed under the name uncultured bacterium. Its description in RNAcentral is "partial 16S ribosomal RNA". It matches the Rfam family "Bacterial small subunit ribosomal RNA", at positions 28 to 507 of the family's 1533-position model. The record is from RNAcentral.
GAUGAACGCUGGCGGCGUGCCUAGUACAUGCAAGUCGAGCGAACGGACGAGAAGCUUGCUUCUCUGAUGUUAGCGGCGGACGGGUGAGUAACACGUGGAUAACCUACCUAUAGGACUGGGAUAACUUCGGGAAACCGUAGCUAAUACCGGAUAAUAUUUUGAACCGCAUGGUUCAAAAGUGAAAGACGGUCUUGCUGUCACUUAUAGAUGGAUCCGCGCUGCAUUAGCUAGUUGGUAAGGUAACGGCUUACCAAGGCAACGAUGCAUAGCCGACCUGAGAGGGUGAUCGGCCACACUGGAACUGAGACACGGUCCAGACUCCUACGGGAGGCAGCAGUAGGGAAUCUUCCGCAAUGGGCGAAAGCCUGACGGAGCAACGCCGCGUGAGUGAUGAAGGUCUUCGGAUCGUAAAACUCUGUUAUUAGGGAAGAACAUAUGUGUAAGUAACUGUGCACAUCUUGACGGUACCUAAUCAGAAAGCCACGGCUAACUACGUG